Molecule: long non-coding RNA, 1148 nt
Filed under: Astyanax mexicanus (Mexican tetra)
Lineage: Eukaryota; Metazoa; Chordata; Actinopteri; Characiformes; Acestrorhamphidae
Description: lncRNA (ENSAMXG00005022184.1)
Source: RNAcentral
CUCUCGUGCCGCCGCUGACGUCAUUGUGGGAGUGUUUCAACGGGCGGAAUGAACGGUCAUCGGCGGCACGGCGCUCUCGCGGCUCAUCAUGUGAUAUUCCUCAGCUUAGCAGGCCAUAGCUAGCUGACUGGAGAGCCAAGACACCCACCACCCUCGCCUCACCCUGGAUCGAAUGCCAGUCAUCGUCUAUGACCUGAAGGGAUUAUUUUGGAUUACCCUUUGGAUUAACUCACAUCAUCUUUCUAUGUAGAGACGACAGAGCAGGCACACUGAUGAAUGGACAGAGCCAUUCCUGAACUGAGAGCCAGAGGAGGCCAGGCUGGACUGAUGGUAAGCAGCACAUCUCUCUUAUCUCUGUCUCUAUGUCUUCCUCCUCUUUCUGUCUCUCUCUCUCUCAUCCUCUCCUCUUCUACCUCUUUUCUCUUAUCUGUGUUGCACAGAGCUCAUUCUGUCUCCCUGUGGUUGUUUGUUUAUUACCAGCUCUUUCUAAGAAACCCUGUUCGUAGCUGUUCUGUGUGGGUAGAUAUGUUUUCUCUCGAGUCUCGAGUUCUCCGAAGAGGAUGUUCAGCCUUGUUUUACAGGACCUAACGACAAAGUAACCUAACACUCUCUCACCUCUCUCGCCUCUGAAAAUGUGUGUUCGGUUAAGUGUUGCGUUGUUUUGCACUUGACGGAUAAGAGCGGGGCCCAGCUGGUACCAGAGUCGCUGUCUCUCCGUAUCUUCAGCGAGAGAUUGCCGUUAAGUGUUGGGCACCCUGCCCUCAGUUCCCUUACUUUGCUUCACUUUUUCAGUUUAUGCUUUACUCAACCCACAUGACUCUCAGACACCCAACACACUGCUUUAUCACCCUAUCUUGUGUUUAUGCUUUUUCUUCAUCCUUAAGGUUAUUUAACAGUAGUUUCACAUUGAAUUUCUGCAAUGAAGGUCAAAGGUCUCUCCUGUCUCCUGAGUUGUUCUUUGAAAGCUGAUGUUAAGACUUAUGAUUAUUGUAAUUACAGUGGAACCCAAAGUUCUAAGACCACUAGUCUUCUAGUGUAAUAUCAGCUUGUUUGUGCAAAAAAAGUUUCUAGGCCUGGAUUCACAAAAGUCUUUAGGAAUUAAAGGAUUUAAAAAUAAAUAUUUAUUGAAUAAAUAUUAUUUAUUUAUA